AUUGAACGCUGGCGGCAGGCCUAACACAUGCAAGUCGAACGAGUGGCGGACGGGUGAGUAACGUCUGUGAAACUGCCUGAUGGAGGGGGUUAACUACUGGAACCGGUAGCUAAUACCGCAUACCAUCAGAUGUUCCGAGAUGGGCUUAGCUUGUUGGUGGGGUAACGUCUCACCAAGGCGCCGAUCCCUAGCUGGGCUGAGAGGAUGACCGGCCACCCUGGAACUGAGACACGGCCCAGACUCCUACGGGAGGCAGAAUGGGGGAAGAUUGCACAAUGUGCGCAAGCCUGAUGCAGCCAUGCCGCGUGUAUGAAGAAGGCCUUCGGGUUGUAAAGGACUUUCAGCGGGGAGGCGUUACCCGCAGAAGAAGCACCGGCUAACUCCGUGCCAGCAGCCGCGGUAAUAC
RNAcentral lists this ribosomal RNA (406 nucleotides) under uncultured bacterium. RNAcentral's name for it is "partial 16S ribosomal RNA". It matches the Rfam family "Bacterial small subunit ribosomal RNA", at positions 30 to 526 of the family's 1533-position model. The record is from RNAcentral.